RNAcentral lists this unclassified non-coding RNA (200 nucleotides) under Candelariella sp. Its description in RNAcentral is "partial internal transcribed spacer 2". Lineage: Eukaryota; Fungi; Ascomycota; Candelariomycetes; Candelariales; Candelariaceae. The record is from RNAcentral.
UUAAGUUCAGCGGGUAUCCCUACCUGAUCCGAGGUCAGCCUUUUGAAUUGAGGGUUUUCGUUGGCGGGCGUCACACCUAACUUCCAAAGCGAAAAGAUUACUACGCUUGAAGCCAGGCGGCACCGCCACUGACUUUUAGGCACGCCGGGGGGCGAAGACCCAUGACAAGCGGAGCUUGAGUGGUGUAAUGACGCUCGAAC